Molecule: ribosomal RNA, 301 nt
Filed under: uncultured bacterium
Lineage: Bacteria
Description: partial 16S ribosomal RNA
Rfam family: Bacterial small subunit ribosomal RNA
Source: RNAcentral
CGCCGCCACGGUAAUACGGAGGGUGCAAGCGUUAUCCGGAUUUAUUGGGUUUAAAGGGUCCGUAGGCGGAUCUGUAAGUCAGUGGUGAAAUCUCACAGCUUAACUGUGAAACUGCCAUUGAUACUGCAGGUCUUGAGUAAAUUUGAAGUGGCUGGAAUAAGUAGUGUAGCGGUGAAAUGCAUAGAUAUUACUUAGAACACCAAUUGCGAAGGCAGGUCACUAAGAUUUAACUGACGCUGAUGGACGAAAGCGUGGGGAGCAAACAGGAUUAGAUACCCCUGUAGUCCCUGUCUCUUAUACA